RNAcentral lists this ribosomal RNA (468 nucleotides) under uncultured bacterium. Its description in RNAcentral is "partial 16S ribosomal RNA". It matches the Rfam family "Bacterial small subunit ribosomal RNA", at positions 28 to 507 of the family's 1533-position model. The record is from RNAcentral.
GAUGAACGCUGGCGGCGUGCCUAAUACAUGCAAGUCGAACGGACAGACGCUGCUUUUGUUCGGUUCUCGAUUGGCGAACGGGUGUGUAACACGUGUGUAUCCUCUCCCUGACUUUCUGGGAACAUUACGGAAAUCCGGCUCUUAUACCAUAGGAUCUCCUGCUGCGUGGUGUGGGAUGGAGAAUUUCGGCGGUUGUGGAUGGACUCGCGGCUUAUCAGCUUGCUUGUGUGGUAGUGGCUUACCAAGGUUUUGACGGGUAGCCUGCCUGAGAGGGGUGACGGCGACAUGGGGACUGAGGUAGGGAGCAGAAUCCUAUGGGAGGCAGUAGUGGGGAAUAUUGCAGAACGGGGGGAAGCCUGAGACAGCAACGCCGGGUGCGGGAUGACCGCCUUCGGGUUGUAAACCGCUUUCGACGGAGAUGAAGCGGGAGUGACGGUAAUGGGUAAAGAAGCAACGGCUAACUACGUG